UUUUUUUCUUUCAGCUACAACAUUGUUGUCUUUGGAGGCAUUGAUGGUUUUUCCCAUAAGAUCAUGUAUCUUGGAGCAGCCUCCUACUUGCAUCAACUACCCUGGCAUUCUUCCAUGAAUCUGUUGAGAAGUUUGGCUGUCCUCUCAGUACCAAUGUUGUGUGGGCCGCCCGAAGAGGAGGUACUGCUGGCUCACCACCAGAGGGCGCCCUGCCUGUUGUCGGGUUUCCGGCACUAGAGGGCACAGUUGCCUGAGGGGAUCACCAGGUGCACCGGAGCUGUCACCUGUCACUCAUCACAUCUCAUCACACCACUCCAUAAAAGCCUGGGAGAGACACCAUAACUCUGCCGAGUUAUCAGCUUACCCUACAGUACCGGAUCUGACAGCUGGAAGCGGUGGCCACCUGGGGACUCAGGACUUGGCGGCUCUGGUGUAUUGCAGGUCUCCGUUGGCAGUGGAACAUCGUGGGUCCCGGCUCUUCUCUGGAUAGGCGUCUCCUACCCUCGGGCCUGCCCACGCGCCAUUUUGGUUUUCUUGAUUGACAGACUAUAGCAUUUUUGAACUGUUGUGCACAUUUGCAGGAAUAAAUUGUGUUUAUUGGAAUCUCUAUUGGCCAUUCAUUUAUGCCCCCUCGUGUGGGUCCGUGCAUUUCACUUUCCCCAACAGGAUAACUCAGCCACGUCAUGGAUUCUGAGGGGCACAU
This is a long non-coding RNA of Thalassophryne amazonica, 703 nucleotides long. RefSeq lists it as uncharacterized. The transcript has 4 exons. NCBI's taxonomy places the organism in Eukaryota, Metazoa, Chordata, Actinopteri, Batrachoidiformes, Batrachoididae. The record is from RefSeq and is a predicted model, not a curated record.